UACAGAGGGGGCAAGCGUUGUUCGGAAUUACUGGGCGUAAAGGGCGCGUAGGCGGCCUGUUAAGUCGAACGUGAAAUCCCCGGGCUCAACCCGGGAACUGCGUCCGAUACUGGCAGGCUUGAAUCCGGGAGAGGGAUGCGGAAUUCCAGGUGUAGCGGUGAAAUGCGCAGAUAUCGGGAGGAACACCAGUGGCGAAGGCGGCACUCUGGGCCGGAACUGACGCUGAGGAGCGAAAGCGUGGGGAGCGAACAGG
This 253-nucleotide ribosomal RNA is filed under the name uncultured bacterium. Its description in RNAcentral is "partial 16S ribosomal RNA". It matches the Rfam family "Bacterial small subunit ribosomal RNA", at positions 524 to 776 of the family's 1533-position model. The record is from RNAcentral.